UGCGGAUGUGGUGAAAUUGGUAAACACGCAUGCUUGAGGGGCAUGUUUUUUACGAGUUCGAGUCUCGUCAUCCGCAA
This 77-nucleotide transfer RNA is filed under the name Cyanidiococcus yangmingshanensis. RNAcentral describes it as "tRNA-Leu". It matches the Rfam family "tRNA". Rfam says of the family: Transfer RNA (tRNA) molecules are approximately 80 nucleotides in length. Their secondary structure includes four short double-helical elements and three loops (D, anti-codon, and T loops). Lineage: Eukaryota; Rhodophyta; Bangiophyceae; Cyanidiales; Cyanidiaceae. The record is from RNAcentral.